UGGUAGAAGAAUCCAAGGAGCUGAGUAUGCCGACAGAUGAUUGGUUACUUUGUAGCGCGAAGGCGGUGCCUAGCUAAGACGUGUUGGUCACUGGAACUGCCUUCUCGUCGGCUGUUAACGACGCACGCAAAAACGAGGAAAGGUUGUAAUGGAGAAAUAGAGGCACGGUGACUGGGAGAAAUAAGGGAACGCCUCCCUAAUGCUGGUUCAAUGAGAGUCAUAUGACAUCUGUUACCCGUUGACUCCACAAUUACCUCCUAUGGGAAAUGUUGUGGGUCAUCUCCAGUCUUGGGCUCCCCCAGUAUCCACCAGCAUCCUCUCUCAGCAGUAAAGACUGGACUAACAGCGGAGGAUACCUUGUCUCAGGGCCAAGCUUGAUUUCAGUGCUGUCAACUUUUUAUUUUACCUGUCAGAAUGGAAACGGACAUACAAGGGUUUGUUUGCCCCUCUGACGUCUUUAGCCACAUAGGCUGUGAGAGGAAAUAGACAGAGAGCAGAUUUUAAGGACCCCACACCUCUUAAUGGUAUGCUUCGUAUGAGAGUGUGGGAUUUGGAGGGCC
Long non-coding RNA from Astatotilapia calliptera (eastern happy), 560 nucleotides. The record is from Ensembl. Lineage: Eukaryota; Metazoa; Chordata; Actinopteri; Cichliformes; Cichlidae.